GAAAUGCGAUAAGUAGUGUGAAUUGCAGAAUUCAGUGAAUCAUCGAAUCUUUGAACGCACAUUGCGCCCCUUGGUAUUCCAUGGGGCAUGCCUGUUCGAGCGUCAUUUGUACCCUCAAGCUCUGCUUGGUGUUGGGUGUUUGUCCCGUCUCCGCGCGUGGACUCGCCCCAAAGUGAUUGGCAGCCGGCGUACUGGUCCCGGAGCGCAGCACAUGUCGCGCAAACGAGUGCCUUGGUACGGCGGCGUCCAUAAGCCCCUCUCUCACGCUCUUGACCUCGGAUCAGGUAGGGAUACGCGCUGAACAUAAGC
Molecule: unclassified non-coding RNA, 309 nt
Filed under: plant metagenome
Description: partial contains 5.8S ribosomal RNA, internal transcribed spacer 2, and large subunit ribosomal RNA
Rfam family: 5.8S ribosomal RNA (bases 1-105)
Source: RNAcentral